UACGGAGGGUGCGAGCGUUGUUCGGAAUUACUGGGCGUAAAGCGCGUGUAGGUGGCGAGGCAAGUCGGGUGUGAAAGCCCUGGGCUCAACCCAGGAAGUGCACUCGAUACUGCCUAGCUAGAGUCCCGGAGAGGUUGGUGGAACUCUCGGUGUAGAGGUGAAAUUCGUAGAUAUCGAGAAGAACACCGGUGGCGAAGGCGGCCAACUGGACGGUGACUGACACUGAGACGCGAAAGCGUGGGGAGCAAACAGG
Molecule: ribosomal RNA, 253 nt
Filed under: uncultured bacterium
Lineage: Bacteria
Description: partial 16S ribosomal RNA
Rfam family: Bacterial small subunit ribosomal RNA
Source: RNAcentral